GCCCCUGUGGCGGAAUGGCAGACGCGGCAGACUCAAAAUCUGUUUCUCGCAAGGGAGUGGGGGUUCAAGUCCCUCCAGGGGCACCA
Molecule: transfer RNA, 86 nt
Filed under: Alphaproteobacteria bacterium
Lineage: Bacteria; Pseudomonadati; Pseudomonadota; Alphaproteobacteria
Also listed under: 1 other name
Description: tRNA-Leu
Rfam family: tRNA
About the family: Transfer RNA (tRNA) molecules are approximately 80 nucleotides in length.
Source: RNAcentral